This 2667-nucleotide long non-coding RNA is filed under the name Brassica napus (rape). Its description in RNAcentral is "long non-coding RNA (BNAP_LNC003393)". The record is from RNAcentral. Lineage: Eukaryota; Viridiplantae; Streptophyta; Magnoliopsida; Brassicales; Brassicaceae.
AUUGGAUAAGAAAAUCGAUGUCCACGAUGGUGUCACGGCAUGCAAGAGGCGUCCACAUUCCUGUUUGUGCAUUCUUGAUUAUUAAUUUUAUUUUUCAUUUCUAGAAAAGCCAAAGAACCUCACUUGUAUUCAUUCUGUGAUCGAUGUUGUUUAUUUUGGCAGGCGUCAAUAAUCCGAACAAUGAGUCAGAUACAAAAGGCUCGCAAGACCUUGAAAACGAGCCAGGGGAUAAAGUAUCCAGCUGAUGAGGAGAUUUCGAAACUAACAGGGUACUCGUUAAAGAAGAUUAGAGCAGCUAACCAAUGCCUGAAAGUGGUUGGUUCAAUCGACAAGAAAGUUGGGGAUUGCUUUACCACAAAGUUCCUGGUAUGUCCUUUUGAACCAACAUCCUCUCUCAUAAACUGUUAUAAAAAAUAUUUGGUUUUGUGUAGAUUUAAGCUAUUUUUGCAUGGUUUUGGUUUUGUGAGUCAAUGUUUGUUUGCUGUGUGUGUGUAUGCAGGAGUUUACACCAGACACGACGAUGGAGAGUCCAGAGGAGGCUGUGAUGAGGCAGAGCGCAAGGAGAGAGGUACAUAAUCUAAUAGAAGGGCUAGAGGCUAGAGAGAAGCAAGUGAUGGUUCUACGUUAUGGUCUUGAAGACUAUAGGCCCAAGUCCUUGGAAGAGAUUGGGAAGCUGCUUAGGGUUAGCAAAGAAGGGAUCCGGAAGAUAGAACGGAGAGCGAUGGCUAAAAUCAGAGACCAACCCAAAGCUGAUAACCUCAGAUAUUAUUUGAACCAGUGAGAAGGAUUAGAUUUUUGGAACCAAUGGCUUUGUGAUUUGUAAUAACAUUCUCAUCGAGUGUAAAGCUGUGUAUAUUUUAUAAUCAUAAAAGGUAGAGAUUUUACCCAAAGUGAAAAUAUAUCAAACAUUUACAAAUCUUGGAUUUUAUCCUGUAAAAGACAUUGAUUCCAAACUGAAUGUUACAUCUGAAUUGAAGGCAUAAAGCACUUGCACAAGCUUCAUGUCCUCCUCAUGGUCUAGAAAUGUGUAAAUGUGUAUAUCAGAAUACUAGUGAAACUAGGUUAAGAUCCGCGCCUUGCGCGGGAUAAACAUUAUAUAUAUAAAUUAUUUUAUAUAUUAUAUGUUUCUAACCUAUUAUGAAACAAUAAAUAUAUAUUGAAUAAUUAAAAAGUCAGUAACUAUUACCUAUAUAAUUAAGUUGGUGCGAACAUAUAAAUAAAUUUUAUUAAUCCCGUCUAUGUAGAGCUCAAAGAUCCAAAGGUCUGUUGUACUUCCCUGCAAAAACAUUUUUUUUUCCUUUCUUGUGAUUCUCAGUACUCGUUGCCAUGUCUUCAGGAAAAUAUUGGCGUGGGUUUAGUUGGAGAACGAAUGUCUUCUUCUUCUUCAGAGAAAGCCAAUUUAUCUCGUAGCAUGUUGCAGUACAAUCUACUAGGGAAGAACCUUUUAGCACUAGAGCAAACUUUUGUCGCCUUGGAGUCUUUAAGAAUGGAAAGAGAUAUUAUGCUGCAAAUGAGGAAGUUGGGGGCUGCUGAGUUAUUCAACACCUGUCUAUCUAGGUCCCGAGCUUCGUCAACCGCUUCUUGCUUACCUGACACAGGAACACCUGAGUUGGUGGAUACUACAGAAGAACAGAAAACCUUUGUGCAUUCAACAAGGAAACUGAGAAAGAAAGCAAGACGGUCGAGUUUGAUGACUGGGAGUGAUGAUCUGGGUUCAAGAACCAUAUGGGAGGGUGUUGAUGUCCCUAGAGUGAGAAAACCAUCAAAAUAUAGAAAGAAAAGAGAGAGGAUAUCUAGAAACGAGGCUGAGAUGCCACAAGGAGUCAAGGUUCAGUGUGAAAUAUUCCUCUUAACUGUUUUUUUUUAUAAUCCUUUGUAGUUUAACAAGAAGUUCUUAUGACACUCUCAUGUGGCUAUUGAAGUUAGUGGCGGACAUGGAGAGGAUUAGAACGAAACUGGAAGAGGAAAGUGGUAAGGUAGCGAGUAUGAUUUGUUGGGCUGAAGCAGCAGGGAUGAACGAGAAACUUCUCAUGCGCAAUCUACAUUUCGGUUGGUACUGUCGAGAUGAACUGGUGAAAAGCACCCGGUCUUUGGUUCUUUUCCUCGCAAGAAACUAUCGUGGUCUCGGGAUCGCCCACGAAGAUUUGAUUCAGGUUCAUCUUCUCUCCUUUAGAACUGUAUGAGAGUCAAACCUUUGCACAUGAAACUUUGUGUUUACAGUUCCUUUGUUUCUAAUGUUCUUGAAUGUGGGUUUCAGGCAGGGUAUGUGGGAGUGUUGCAAGGAGCAGAGAGGUUUGAUCACACAAGGGGUUACAAGUUUUCGACGUAUGUGCAGUAUUGGAUAAGAAAAUCGAUGUCCACGAUGGUGUCACGGCAUGCAAGAGGCGUCCACAUUCCUGUUUGUGCAUUCUUGAUUAUUAAUUUUAUUUUUCAUUUCUAGAAAAGCCAAAGAACCUCACUUGUAUUCAUUCUGUGAUCGAUGUUGUUUAUUUUGGCAGGCGUCAAUAAUCCGAACAAUGAGUCAGAUACAAAAGGCUCGCAAGACCUUGAAAACGAGCCAGGGGAUAAAGUAUCCAGCUGAUGAGGAGAUUUCGAAACUAACAGGGUACUCGUUAAAGAAGAUUAGAGCAGCUAACCAAUGCCUGAAAGUGGUUGGUUCAAUCGACA